GUCAUUGUGGUGUAGUGGUUUAAAUGUCAGACUAGGACUCUGGAGAUGAGAGUUCGAAUCCCUGCUCGGCCA
Non-coding RNA from Phrynosoma platyrhinos (Desert horned lizard), 72 nucleotides. The record is from the annotation of a GenBank genome assembly. Lineage: Eukaryota; Metazoa; Chordata; Lepidosauria; Squamata; Phrynosomatidae.